UGUACCUACGGGAGGCAGCAGUGAGGAAUAUUGGUCAAUGGGCGGGAGCCUGAACCAGCCAAGCCGCGUGAGGGAAGAAGGUACAGCGUAUCGUAAACCUCUUUUGUCAGGGAACAAAGGCGGGGACUAGUCCCCGGGUGAGGGUACCUGAAGAAAAAGCAUCGGCUAACUCCGUGCCAGCAGCCGCGGUAAUACGGAGGAUGCGAGCGUUAUCCGGAUUUAUUGGGUUUAAAGGGUGCUCAUGCGGUCUGUUAAUUCAUCGGUCAAAUCC
RNAcentral lists this ribosomal RNA (271 nucleotides) under uncultured bacterium. Its description in RNAcentral is "partial 16S ribosomal RNA". It matches the Rfam family "Bacterial small subunit ribosomal RNA", at positions 334 to 602 of the family's 1533-position model. The record is from RNAcentral.